ACUGCUAUAAAGAUUGCUAUAAGGUAAUAUGUCUAUGUGUAUUAGUCAGGGUAAUCUCAGUGGCUUAACACAAGACAAGGUGUUCACUUGGCAUCCUCCUACAUGGUUAUUCAGAAUUCUGGUUCCUUUAUCUCAUUGCACCGCUGUUCACUGGCUGCUCUGCAUUUAACCAGCAAAAAUGUUGAGAGUGAGGAAAAUCCUGCAGUACGUCUUGUGGGCAGGCUUGGAAACGGAAUUCAACACUUCCAUAAACAUUUCACUGGCCAGAACCUGAUCCCCCCGGUUCCAAUCUACAUGCAAGGGAAGCUGCUAACACAGUCCUGUUUGCCUGCAAGAGGAAAGGAGAUUGAAAAGAAAUUCAUGCUAAUGGUAUCCAAUGAAACAAGCUAAGAUGCAUGAAGAAAGAGUUUACGAUUUCCCUUUCUCCUUCCAGCCCCCACCCAGGCUGUGGUAGAGAUGACAACUUCUCAUCACUAUCUGUUUUUCUCGUCUUCCUGGUGCACAACUAGAAGACAUUUCUCAUUCCUCUUGCAUUUGGUGAGGCCACACUGUUAGUGACUACUCACCAAGGAAGUUUAGGAAAAGUGAGACUUCUCCAUCUUUUUGCCAAUUGCUGGAUGAAUGAAGACUUUCCGAAGGAAGGAAAGACCGCAAGAUAGGAGGAACACAGGUGUGCUGGUUUAUCAGUGUAUUGCCUCUCAGUGCCAAACCCACUCUUCCUUGCCCUGCUUUGUUACGCUGGAGCCAGAUCCUAUAAACAAACACGUCUCCCGUUCCAGGUGGCACAAGAAUGUGGCAGCAAACAGCAGCCCGGACUCCUAGAGGCACUCAUCCUCCAGCAAGUUUCCCUGGCUCUCCAGCGGGCAGCAUCUAACUAUAAGAGACUACCUUGGCUUUGCACCAUUAC
RNAcentral lists this long non-coding RNA (907 nucleotides) under Equus caballus (horse). RNAcentral's name for it is "lncRNA (ENSECAG00000051298.1)". Lineage: Eukaryota; Metazoa; Chordata; Mammalia; Perissodactyla; Equidae. The record is from RNAcentral.